RNAcentral lists this ribosomal RNA (434 nucleotides) under uncultured bacterium. RNAcentral's name for it is "partial 16S ribosomal RNA". It matches the Rfam family "Bacterial small subunit ribosomal RNA", at positions 29 to 507 of the family's 1533-position model. The record is from RNAcentral.
AGCGAACGCUGGCGGCAGGCCUAACACAUGCAAGUCGAACGAACCUUUCGGGGCUAGUGGCGGACGGGUGAGUAACACGUGGGAACGUGCCUUUAGGUUCGGCAUAACUCAGGGAAACUUGUGCUAACACCGAAUGUGCCCUUCGGGGGAAAGAUUUAUCGCCUUUCGAGCGGCCCGCGUCUGAUUAGCUAGUUGGUUGCGGUAAUCGCUCACCACGGCGGCGAUCAGUAGCUGGUCUGAGAGGAUGAUCAGCCACAUUGGGACUGAGACACGGCCCAAACUCCUACGGGAGGCAGCAGUGGGGAAUCUUGCGCAAUGGGCGAAAGCCGGACGCAGCCAUGCCGCGUGAAUGAUGAAGGUCUUAGGAUUGUAAAAUUCUUUCACCGGGGACGAUAAUGACGGUACCCGGAGAAGAAGCCCCGGCUAACUUCGUG